CGACUACGAGUUUGAUCCUGGCUCAGAUUGAACGCUGGCGGCAUGCCUAACACAUGCAAGUCGAACGGAGGUAGGGGCAACUCUACUUCAGUGGCGGACGGGUGAGGAAUGCGUCGGAAUCUACCCUAGAGCGGGGGACAACCCGGGGAAACCCGGGCUAAUACCGCAUACGUCCUACGGGAGAAAGAGGGCCUCUGCUUGCACGCUCUCACUCCAGGAUGAGCCCACGUCCGAUUAGCUAGUUGGUAGGGUAAAGGCCUACCAAGGCCACGAUCGGUAGCUGGUCUGAGAGGAUGAUCAGCCACACUGGGACUGAGACACGGCCCAGACUCCUACGGGAGGCAGCAGUGGGGAAUAUUGGACAAUGGGCGCAAGCCUGAUCCAGCAAUGCCGCGUGUGUGAAGAAGGCCUGCGGGUUGUAAAGCACUUUCAGUGGGGAAGAACAGAUUCGGGUCAAUACCCCGGAGCCCUGACGUUACCCACAGAAGAAGCACCGGCUAACUCCGUG
Molecule: ribosomal RNA, 508 nt
Filed under: uncultured bacterium
Lineage: Bacteria
Description: bacterial SSU rRNA
Rfam family: Bacterial small subunit ribosomal RNA
Source: RNAcentral